This 21-nucleotide unclassified non-coding RNA is filed under the name Chlamydomonas reinhardtii. Its description in RNAcentral is "small RNA Cre_2734". Lineage: Eukaryota; Viridiplantae; Chlorophyta; Chlorophyceae; Chlamydomonadales; Chlamydomonadaceae. The record is from RNAcentral.
UCGGUUAUAGUGUCCUCCGGG